This 557-nucleotide ribosomal RNA is filed under the name uncultured bacterium. Its description in RNAcentral is "bacterial SSU rRNA". It matches the Rfam family "Bacterial small subunit ribosomal RNA", at positions 472 to 1025 of the family's 1533-position model. The record is from RNAcentral.
ACGGUACCUGGGGAAUAAGUCACGGCUAACUACGUGCCAGCAGCCGCGGUAAUACGUAGGUGGCAAGCGUUAUCCGGAAUUACUGGGCGUAAAGCGCACGCAGGUGGCUGCUUAAGUCUGACGUGAAAGCUCCUGGCUUAACUGGGAGAGGUCGUUGGAGACUGGGCGGCUUGAGGCGAGGAGAGGGGUGUAGAAUUCCCGGUGUAGUGGUGGAAUGCGUAGAGAUCGGGAGGAAUACCAGUGGCGAAAGCGGCACCCUGGCCUUGGCCUGACGCUCAGGUGCGAAAGCGUGGGGAGCGAACGGGAUUAGAUACCCCGGUAGUCCACGCGGUAAACGAUGAAUACUAGGUGUAGGUGGUCUCAAAACUAUCUGUACCGCAGCUAACGCGAUAAGUAUUCCGCCUGGGGAGUACGACCGCAAGGUUAAAACUCAAAGGAAUUGACGGGGGCCCGCACAAGCAGCGGAGCGUGUGGUUUAAUUCGAUGCAACGCGAAGAACCUUACCUAGGCUUGACGUAGUGGUAGUAGUGAAGUGAAAGCGGAACGACCCUUCGGGG